Molecule: long non-coding RNA, 1688 nt
Organism: Petromyzon marinus (sea lamprey)
Lineage: Eukaryota; Metazoa; Chordata; Hyperoartia; Petromyzontiformes; Petromyzontidae
Source: RefSeq, a predicted model, not a curated record
ACUCCCACCCCCUCUCCCUUAACACGAGUCGCGUUCAGCGAAGCUCUUUGUCCAGCGAUCCUCAUCGUCUCCAGUCGUUUCGCGGUGCCUGUCCGGGGGUUCUGCCUACCGAAACCGCUCGCUCGCUCCACGAAUACAAAACGACGCCACCGAUCUGCCACCCCCCCCCCACCACCACCACCACCUCUCUAUCGCUCUCUCCCUCUCUGGCCGUGUCGCCUCGUCGCAUCUCUCGCUCUCUCUCCCUUUGCGCCUUCUCGCUCGUUCUAUUAUAACGUCUCCCUCUCUCUGCUGCGGCGUUAGUGGUGGUGGUGCUGCUGCUGCUGCUGGACUGGGCCAGGCUGCCCACGGAAAAGGAUGCACGGGCGAGAUAAGGGAGCGAAAGGCGCCUUGCGUGAGUCCGCCACGCCCGCGUGCUGCCCAGCAUUGUGGGAACAACAUCGGCAGAGUCCGCACAGACGGGUCCACGAGGCCAGCUUCUCUACUGAAGUUUCACCACUCUCGCGGGGCCGCAAGCGACCCGCUACAUCCUUCCACGCGACUCGCGGACACACGAGGCCCACCGCCGCCGCUUGGAAACGAUCCGCCGACGAAAUGCGUCCACCGCUGGGAGCAUCCCUGGACGACACAGACCUACGCGUUAAACUCUUCGCCUAGCAGACGGGGGCGGGGGGGGGGGGGCGGGGGGGGGGGGAGGGAUAUUUGACGCUGCCGAAAUGAAGCACCGGCACGGGGAGGUGCGAUGCCCUUCCUCCUGCGUAGGGGGUGAGAGCGAGAGAAGAAUGCGUUACAGACAAACUCGGAGAGAGCUGCUGCAGCUGCUACUCAUUCUGUUUCGUGUUUAACAUUUGCUUCGAGUUUGUUUAACAUUGAUUGUAACUUGCACCCCCCCCCGCCCCAUUCCCUCCCCCGCCUUUACACAAGAUAACGCCGCAAGGUCGCAUCACCGCGUGCUCUGUGCACUGUGUGACGUCACACCGCGUGCUCUGUGCACUGUGACGUCACACCGCGUGCUCUGUGCACUGUGUGACGUUAAAACCGCGUGCUCUGUGCACUGUGACGUCACACCGCGUGCUCUGAGGACUGUGUGACGUCACACCGCGUGCUCUGUGCAUCCCAGGCUGCACUGUUUACCGUGGGGGGCAAGGUCGGCGGGGGGGGUGCUAACCCACCACCCCUCGCCCCCUCCACCUGAUAAAGGCUCAUCCCGCCUUCUGGGGGUCAGGCGCUUUUGCGGUUCAUCGUGGUCAGCGCCGCAGAGGAGUGUCUCGCUGUGAGAUGCGUGGAGAGCUGGGGGGGGGGGGGGUGGUCAAUAUUGGCAAUCCACCUGGGCGCGUGCACAAUGUGCACGUGGUUCACGAGCCAAAGUCAGAGUUUUCGGUGAAGUUGGUUUUGUUACUUUUUUUUGCUCACGAAAAAAAAAGAGUGGUACAGUAAUACCUCGGUAUACGUCGGGGAUGCGUUCCUGAAAGGUGCGACGACGUAUAUCGAAACGACGUGAAAUCAAAGCGAUGUACAGGGGGGUAGGUGGUGGUGGUGGUGGUCGUGGUGGGGUUCAGGCGACGCAAAUCGGGAAGCGGUGUUAAUAAAGUGACGACGUAUUUGCGAGACGACGUGAAAGCGCCGUGAAUUAAAUCGGGGUACUGCUGUACAUGUUUCAGAAUUGCCUGCGUAAGAAUUGACGUUAA